GCCGGAAAUGCCAGGGAGGACCUUUUGCACAAUUGGCCAUCAGCUUGGUUCUGAAAAUGCGUUCUCGGCAUUUUCCACAGGACACGCUUUGAAGCGAGUGGAUGCACAGAGCUUUGAGAGGCGUGGUUAUCACCACCGACCUCACUGCCUCUUGCUCUUAUAUUAUGUCACUUCCUGUCCCAGUGCCUGAAGUUCAGGCCUCUCACGCAGCGUAGGAGAAAGAUGUCCGCUUUUUACUUCCGGAGAAGUAAACUUUAAAGAGGAUGUCCCUGCCUUGAGUCCCCAGGCCUCUCACGUGAAGAAGAAUCCCUCAUACACAGAGCACAGGAUGCCUGUGUUUUCCCUCCCCACCGUCCUUUCCUGCUGGUCUCGGCUCCCGGUUUACCGGGAGUUCUUCAGACCUCCGUGUGUGGCGUCAGGGAGCGCGCACAGAGCUGUUAAUGCAGAACAAAAUGGCCGCCUCUUAGGGUUUGUGGAGCCCGAUGAGGGAAUUACUGCCAGUUUAUACUCUGGGCCCUCACACAUGUCUUUCGUUCCGACAGCUCCAGUGGUUUUUAUUCCAACUGAUCUGCAACCCAUCCCGAAAUUGUUUCAGUAAGGCUCGCUCGGUCGUUCUGUCGGCAACAUUGCAAACUGCACGCCUGGGGGUGAGUGGAAGUUUCCUCUUCAUUCGUGGCAUUCUGAAUUUCACAAUGUUGCACGCAGGUGUGGCACAAGUGUGGAUCCUCUCUCUAGGCAUGUGGGAACAUUUUAAAUAUGGAGAUUGCUCCUCAUCAAAAUAAAAAGCUUCUGCACAGUGAAGGAAACAAUCAGCCAAACUAAAAGGCAGCUGAUGGAAUGGGAGAAGAUAUUUGUAAGUGGCAUAUCAGAUAAAGGCUUACUAUCCAAAAUCUAUAAGGAACUUAUCAACCUCAACACCCAAAAAACAAAUAAUCCAGUGAAGAAAUGGGCAAAAGACAUGAAUAGACACUUCUCCAAAGAAGACA
Molecule: long non-coding RNA, 986 nt
Filed under: Felis catus (domestic cat)
Lineage: Eukaryota; Metazoa; Chordata; Mammalia; Carnivora; Felidae
Description: lncRNA (ENSFCAG00000040349.2)
Source: RNAcentral